AAUUAACGCAGCAUGGAUGGUUCCCUCGUGCCGAGGUGGGGCGAGGGAGUAAAUGGGAAUGUGACGGGGCGGACCCAUGCCGGGCGCCCUUAUCGCAGCCGACCCCGCGACUGUAGAACGGUCAGGGUUCGCCAUCGGGGAUUUUGCCGGUUUCGAGGCGCUGCAUGGGGCAGUUUCGUCGAACCUCGGCAGGAUACCGGAAAAGCCACUGGCGUGGCAUCGCGAUCAGCCGGGCAGGACGCCUCUUCUUCUACGAAUCGUCCGCCUUUCGCGAUGCCGCAGACGCCGGGAAGGCGAGGCGAACCGUUCGGUCUUCUGCGCAUCGUUUUCCGGACCGGAUCGGUCCGUCGGAAACGUGCGGACGAGGACCGUGGCGCCGUGAGCCAGGAGACCUGCCAUCCGUCAGGGUAUUCCG
RNAcentral lists this non-coding RNA (415 nucleotides) under Sinorhizobium medicae. Lineage: Bacteria; Pseudomonadati; Pseudomonadota; Alphaproteobacteria; Hyphomicrobiales; Rhizobiaceae. The record is from RNAcentral.